RNAcentral lists this ribosomal RNA (743 nucleotides) under Bacillus sonorensis. Its description in RNAcentral is "bacterial SSU rRNA". It matches the Rfam family "Bacterial small subunit ribosomal RNA", at positions 21 to 745 of the family's 1533-position model. Lineage: Bacteria; Bacillati; Bacillota; Bacilli; Caryophanales; Bacillaceae. The record is from RNAcentral.
GGCUCAGGACGAACGCUGGCGGCGUGCCUAAUACAUGCAAGUCGAGCGAACCGACGGGAGCUUGCUCCCUUAGGUUAGCGGCGGACGGGUGAGUAACACGUGGGUAACCUGCCUGUAAGACUGGGAUAACUCCGGGAAACCGGGGCUAAUACCGGAUGCUUGAUUGAACCGCAUGGUUCAAUUAUAAAAGGUGGCUUUUAGCUACCACUUACAGAUGGACCCGCGGCGCAUUAGCUAGUUGGUGAGGUAACGGCUCACCAAGGCGACGAUGCGUAGCCGACCUGAGAGGGUGAUCGGCCACACUGGGACUGAGACACGGCCCAGACUCCUACGGGAGGCAGCAGUAGGGAAUCUUCCGCAAUGGACGAAAGUCUGACGGAGCAACGCCGCGUGAGUGAUGAAGGUUUUCGGAUCGUAAAACUCUGUUGUUAGGGAAGAACAAGUACCGUUCGAACAGGGCGGUACCUUGACGGUACCUAACCAGAAAGCCACGGCUAACUACGUGCCAGCAGCCGCGGUAAUACGUAGGUGGCAAGCGUUGUCCGGAAUUAUUGGGCGUAAAGCGCGCGCAGGCGGUUUCUUAAGUCUGAUGUGAAAGCCCCCGGCUCAACCGGGGAGGGUCAUUGGAAACUGGGGAACUUGAGUGCAGAAGAGGAGAGUGGAAUUCCACGUGUAGCGGUGAAAUGCGUAGAGAUGUGGAGGAACACCAGUGGCGAAGGCGACUCUCUGGUCUGUAACUGACG